GCGUCAGGCCGGGCGGCCCUUUACGGGGGCUGCGGGGCAUUAAAACAAGGGCCGGGCCGCUUAGAAACGACGGUAACUUGGUCCCUGUUGGAUUGGACUGGCAAGAAAAGCGAAGCCGAAUUCGUAAGACAACAGUCGACUCGCUCUUAAAAUACCCUUGGGCUGUUCAGUCCCCGGUACUGUGCUGUCAGAGCAGGAAUAAAGCUCACGUCGUGAGCGGGUGCUGGACUGAUUCCAAAGGGCUGUAUACCUGUUUCCACUUUGUACUGUGCUCAAGGUAGCCCGUGGGAGGGCUGUCGUGGUAACAGGCAGUCGUUAAUAGAGAGGGGCUAUCUGAAGCUGUCUGUUUAAAGCUUUUUUUUUUUUUUUAGGCAUGACAUUGUUAACGAGAAUAUUUUUAUUUAUAUCCUGAAGUUAUUUUGGAUUUGGCAUCUGAAAUAUUUUAUGUGGUAGUAUCAUUUUUUUUUUUUUUUUUUUUUUUUUAAGCUUUUCUCUUUAACCUUGACCUUUUGCUCUUUUGCAGUUCUGUGAAACUGUGAAGAUGAUUAUUCGGGACCAGAGGAGUGUUCUUGCUUCAGUGCUCGUGGGAUUGGCAUCAAUAGUCUGCCUAGACCCCACAGCUGUUUGAAGAUUGGAUUCUUGAACUGUAAUGCUCCCUGGCCUGUGUUGUCCCAAGUGAAAGAGCACUUGUUACCAUGGGCUGCAACUGGUGUCAUGAAACAGUCAAGAAGUAUGGACGAUCAUGUACAAGUACACGGACCUGUGCUCCGAUCUUUAGUUGGUUACUCUGACCAGAAUUUUAAGGCCCCAGUGAGGUUCUGAGUGGGGACUAGACCUCAGACUUCUCCAGGAACUAGAAACACCCAGACUGGGACGUUUUUGACUUUGUCACAACACAAACUGCAGUCAUUCAGGAAACUUCCAGGUAAAAAUAAAGAAGUGACUCAGGUUAGAUCA
This 957-nucleotide long non-coding RNA is filed under the name Apteryx haastii (Great spotted kiwi). RNAcentral's name for it is "lncRNA (ENSAHAG00000019564.1)". Lineage: Eukaryota; Metazoa; Chordata; Aves; Apterygiformes; Apterygidae. The record is from RNAcentral.